UGCCUCCCCCCCCCCCCCCCCCCCCCCCCCCCCCCCCCCCCCUUUCUCCCCCCCUCCCCCUCCCCCCCCCCCCCCCCCCCCCCCCACCCCCCACACCCACCCCCACCCGCCCACCCCCCCCCCCCCCCCCCCCCCCCCCCCCCCCCCCCCCCCCCCCCCCCCCCCCCCCCCCCCCCCCCCCCCCCCCCCCCCCCCCCCCCCCCCCCCCCCCCCCCCCCCCCCCCCCCCCCCCCCCCCCCCCACACUCACACACACACACACACACACACACACACACACACACACACACACACACACACACACACACACACACACACACACACACACACAGAGGCACACACUGCCGCACACUGCCUGCACCUCCACCCCAC
Molecule: long non-coding RNA, 371 nt
Filed under: Dunaliella salina
Lineage: Eukaryota; Viridiplantae; Chlorophyta; Chlorophyceae; Chlamydomonadales; Dunaliellaceae
Description: long non-coding RNA (DSAL_LNC000245)
Source: RNAcentral